Molecule: small nucleolar RNA, 135 nt
Organism: Artibeus jamaicensis (Jamaican fruit-eating bat)
Lineage: Eukaryota; Metazoa; Chordata; Mammalia; Chiroptera; Phyllostomidae
Product: small nucleolar RNA SNORA75
Exons: 1
Source: RefSeq, a predicted model, not a curated record
AUCUUCUCAUUGAGCUCCUUGCUGUCGAUCUGUGGCAGUUUAUGGAUUCGCACGAGAAGAAGAGACAGUUCACAGAGCUAGCAUUGUUUUGCCUCCAGUCUUCAGAGGUCUAUUCUGCUAUUCUGUGAGACAUUC